AGAGUUUGAUCCUGGCUCAGGACGAACGCUGGCGGCGCGUCUUAAGCAUGCAAGUCGGGCGGCAAGAUGGUGCUUGCACCAUCCUAGAGCGGCGGACUGGUGAGUAACACGUAGGUGACGUACCCUUCAGACGGGGAUAGCCUGCAGAAAUGCAGGGUAAUACCGGAUACGGCCGGCGGCUUUGGUGGCCGCCGGGGAAAGGAGCUUCGGCUCCGCUGAGGGAUCGGCCUGCGGCCCAUCAGCUAGUAGGUGAGGUAAAGGCCCACCUAGGCAAUGACGGGUACCCGGACUGAGAGGUUGAUCGGGCACAUUGGGACUGAGAUACGGCCCAGACUCCUACGGGAGGCAGCAGCUAAGAAUAUUCCGCAAUGCGCGAAAGCGUGACGGAGCGACGCCGCGUGGACGAUGAAGGCCGGAAGGUUGUAAAGUCCUUUUGUGACUGAGGAAUAAGGGGCGGAGGAAAUGCCGGCCCGGUGACUGUAGGUCAUGAAUAAGCACCGGCUAAUUACGUGCCAGCAGCCGCGGUAACACGUAAGGUGCGAGCGUUGUUCGGAUUAUUGGGCGUAAAGGGCAUGUAGGCGGUCCAGUAAGUCGGGCGUGAAAUGCCGGGGCUCAACCCCGGAACUGCGCCCGAUACUGCAGGACUUGAGUCAGCGAGGCGCAGCCGGAAUUCCUGGUGUAGGGGUGAAAUCUGUAGAUAUCAGGAAGAACACCGGUGGCGAAGGCAGGCUGCGAGCGCAUGACUGACGCUGAGGUGCGAAGGUGCGGGGAGCGAACAGGAUUAGAUACCCUGGUAGUCCGCACAGUAAACGAUGUGCACUUGGUGUCCGGCCAGAAGGCUGGGUGCCGAAGCAAACGCGAUAAGUGCACCGCCUGGGGAGUAUGCCCGCAAGGGUGAAACUCAAAGGAAUUGACGGGGGCCCGCACAAGCGGUGGAGCAUGUGGUUUAAUUCGAUGGUACGCGAGGAACCUUACCUGGGUUUGACAUACAGGGGAAUCAUUUGGAGACAAGUGAGCCGGCUUGCCGGUCCCUGAACAGGUGCUGCAUGGCUGUCGCCAGCUCGUGCUGUGAGGUGUUGGGUUAAGUCCCGCAACGAGCGCAACCCCUACUGCCAGUUGCCAUCGGGUUAUGCCGGGCACUCUGGCGGAACUGCCCCCGACAAGGGGGAGGAAGGCGGGGAUGACGUCAAGUCAUCAUGGCCCUUAUGUCCAGGGCUACACACGUGCUACAAUGGUGAGUACAGAGCGGAGCGAGACCGUGAGGUGGAGCAGAGCGCAAAAAGCUUGCCUCAGUCCGGAUAGGAGUCUGAAACCCGACUCCUUGAAGUUGGAAUCGCUAGUAAUCGCACAUCAGCACGGUGCGGUGAAUACGUUCCCGGGCCUUGUACACACCGCCCGUCACACCAUCCGAGUGGGGGGUACCCGAAGUCGUGAGUCUAACCGCAAGGGGGACCAUGCCGAAGGUACGUUCCGUGAGGGGGGUGAAGUCGUAACAAGGUAGUCGUACCGGAAGGUGCGGCUGGAUCACCUCCUU
RNAcentral lists this ribosomal RNA (1534 nucleotides) under uncultured Spirochaetaceae bacterium. RNAcentral describes it as "bacterial SSU rRNA". It matches the Rfam family "Bacterial small subunit ribosomal RNA". Lineage: Bacteria; Pseudomonadati; Spirochaetota; Spirochaetia; Spirochaetales; Spirochaetaceae. The record is from RNAcentral.